AGUGAACGCUGGCGGUAGACCUAACACAUGCAAGUCGAACGGCAGCACAGUAAGAGCUUGCUCUUACGGGUGGCGAGUGGCGGACGGGUGAGGAAUACAUCGGAAUCUACUUUUUCGUGGGGGAUAACGUAGGGAAACUUACGCUAAUACCGCAUACGACCUACGGGUGAAAGCAGGGGAUCUUCGGACCUUGCGCGAUUGAAUGAGCCGAUGUCGGAUUAGCUAGUUGGCGGGGUAAAGGCCCACCAAGGCGACGAUCCGUAGCUGGUCUGAGAGGAUGAUCAGCCACACUGGAACUGAGACACGGUCCAGACUCCUACGGGAGGCAGCAGUGGGGAAUAUUGGACAAUGGGCGCAAGCCUGAUCCAGCCAUACCGCGUGGGUGAAGAAGGCCUUCGGGUCGUAAAGCCCUUUUGUUGGGAAAGAAAAGCAGCAGGUUAAUACCCCGCUGUUCUGACGGUACCCAAAGAAUAAGCACCGGCUAACUUCGUG
RNAcentral lists this ribosomal RNA (492 nucleotides) under uncultured bacterium. Its description in RNAcentral is "partial 16S ribosomal RNA". It matches the Rfam family "Bacterial small subunit ribosomal RNA", at positions 29 to 507 of the family's 1533-position model. The record is from RNAcentral.